Molecule: ribosomal RNA, 332 nt
Filed under: uncultured Pseudomonadota bacterium
Lineage: Bacteria; Pseudomonadati; Pseudomonadota
Description: bacterial SSU rRNA
Rfam family: Bacterial small subunit ribosomal RNA
Source: RNAcentral
CGCGUAGGCGGCUGGGUAAGUCGAUUGUGAAAUCCCCGGGCUCAACCUGGGAAUUGCAGUCGAGACUGCUCGGCUAGAGUGUGGGAGAGGGUGGUGGAAUUCCCGGUGUAGCGGUGAAAUGCGUAGAUAUCGGGAGGAACAUCAGUGGCGAAGGCGACCACCUGGCCCAACACUGACGCUGAGGUGCGAAAGCGUGGGUAGCAAACAGGAUUAGAUACCCUGGUAGUCCACGCCGUAAACGAUGUCGACUAGCCGUUGGAGACCUUAGAGUCUUUAGUGGCGCAGCUAACGCACUAAGUCGACCGCCUGGGGAGUACGGCCGCAAGGUUAAA